RNAcentral lists this ribosomal RNA (460 nucleotides) under uncultured bacterium. RNAcentral's name for it is "partial 16S ribosomal RNA". It matches the Rfam family "Bacterial small subunit ribosomal RNA", at positions 338 to 795 of the family's 1533-position model. The record is from RNAcentral.
CCUACGUGAGUCCGCAGUGAGGAAUAUUGGUCAAUGGGCGCGAGCCUGAACCAGCCAAAUAGCGUGAAUGAUGACUGCCCUACGGGUUGUAAACUUCUUUUAUAAAGGAAUAAAGUGAGGCACGUGUGCCUUUUUGUAUGUACUUUAUGACUCAGGAUCGGCUAACUCCGUGCCAGCAGCCGCGGUAAUACGGAGGAUCCGAGCGUUCGCCGGAUUUAUUGGGUUUAAAGGGAGCGUAGAUGGGUUGUUAAGUCAGUUGUGAAAGUUUGCGGCUCAACCGUAAAAUUGCAAUUGAUACUGGCAGCCUUGAGUACAGUUGAGGUAGGCGGAAUUCGUGGUGUAGCGGUGAAAUGCUUAGAUAUCACGAAGAACUCCGAUUGCGAAGGCAGCCUACUAAACUGCCACUGACAUUGAUGCUCGAAAGUGUGGGUAUCAAACAGGAUUAGAUACCCGAGUAGUC